AUUGAACGCUGGCGGCAGGCCUAACACAUGCAAGUCGAGCGGAUGAAGGGAGCUUGCUCCUGGAUUCAGCGGCGGACGGGUGAGUAAUGCCUAGGAAUCUGCCUGGUAGUGGGGGAUAACGUCCGGAAACGGGCGCUAAUACCGCAUACGUCCUGAGGGAGAAAGUGGGGGAUCUUCGGACCUCACGCUAUCAGAUGAGCCUAGGUCGGAUUAGCUAGUUGGUGGGGUAAAGGCCUACCAAGGCGACGAUCCGUAACUGGUCUGAGAGGAUGAUCAGUCACACGGGAACUGAGACACGGUCCAGACUCCUACGGGAGGCAGCAGUGGGGAAUAUUGGACAAUGGGCGAAAGCCUGAUCCAGCCAUGCCGCGUGUGUGAAGAAGGUCUUCGGAUUGUAAAGCCCUUUAAGUUGGGAGGAAGGGCAGUAAGUUAAUACCUUGCUGUUUUGACGUUACCAACAGAAUAAGCACCGGCUAACUUCGUG
This 484-nucleotide ribosomal RNA is filed under the name uncultured bacterium. RNAcentral describes it as "partial 16S ribosomal RNA". It matches the Rfam family "Bacterial small subunit ribosomal RNA", at positions 30 to 507 of the family's 1533-position model. The record is from RNAcentral.